AGCCGUCCUGCGAGCAGAGAGAAGACCCGAACUAAGAACAAAUGGCUUGCUUCAGCCUUCUGUGAAAAAUAUCCUUCCCGCCACGGAAUGAUUCUGCAUUCCACUCAACACUCCAAGUUAUGGUCUGUGUACUCUGAAUCCCGGACUCAUUGUAUCGGUGCUGGCUCCCACGAUGGCAGAGACUCUGGUGUGGAACACCAGCAAGUCACAAAGGGAAAUGUUGAGAAUCGAGAAACCAGGGAAAGGAGUGAAACUGAACGAGCGAGCAACUCUAGGGAGCAAGAAGUACAUUCAGACACGUGAGAGAACAUCUGCUGUGGAAAUUUCUGAGAGCAGAGGCCAGAAAAUAUUGGCUAUUAACAUGUCAGUAGCUGUGAAUCAACAGGGAAAUGGGAAAGUACAGAAAAGCACCGACAUGGACUUGGCCGGAGGGUAAUGGUGACCCAGAGGAGAACUUAAUGAGCCCCCUGCCCCCACCGGAUCUGGUAGGAAGAGAUUGAAGGAUGCUCCAAGCUUUGUUAAUGGAGCAGGAGGUGGGACAUACUUCUAGAGGAAGGAGAUUUUGUGUAAUGGCAAGUGUCGGAUUUGGAGUUAGGAAGACCUAGGUUAGACUCAUGGCUUUGUCGCUUACUGGUUACACGACCACGGAUACGUUUUUAAUCUCUCCGAACCUCGGUUUCCUUAUCUGUAAAACUGGGCAAUAAUACCAACUCCUUAGGGAAUUAUGAGGAUUAAUUGAGACUGUGCCUAGCACAGCAAUGGCAAAUACGUGGCAUGAAUGCCACAUUUCCCUCAACUUGUGUCCGCGGCUGACCUCAAUCUAUCUUGUUACCUUUUUCCAAUUAAUGAAUAUAAAAUUGUCCACAUGGCAUUUCCACUUGGAUAUAAUGUGUGUCUCAAACCCAGCAUGCUCAAAAGCAUUCCGGUUUUUCUCUCCCAAGCCUGCUCAGUCCGUAGCCUUCAGCACCCUUGUUGGUAAUCACCUUUUCAGUUGCCAAAAACCCCGGAGCUGAUUCACCCCUUCCUCUGAUACCAUAUCAGGACAUCCUUGUGGCUUUACCUCCUAAAUAUAUCCAGAGUCCAGCCUCUUCUCCUUACCUCCACGGCUACCACCCUGGCGCAAAGCACCGGCAACUCUUGCUUGGCUUGUCACAGUGGCCUAAUUGGUAGUUGGCUUCUACUGCUGUCCCCUGGAGCCUAUUCUUAAGAGAGCAGUCAAAGGGAUACAUUAAACAAGUAAGCCAAAUCAUAUUACUGCUCUUCAAAAUGCUCUGAUGGUCCUCAGCCUCACAGAGUAGAAGGCAAAGUAUCUGUGAUGGUUCUCAGAGUCUUCGCAGACAUGGCCCCUAUUUCUUUAGUGAUCUUGUUUCCUGUUACUCUCCCCUCGCUCUGCUCCUUGGUGUUGGCCCUCCUUAGUGUUCUUUGAGCAUGCUGGGCACAGGGAAUGCCUAUGCUAGAUGGCUCUUCAUCCAAACAUCUACAUGGCUCACUUUUUCACCUCCAACAGGUCUUGGCUCAAAAGCUAUUUACUCAGAGGCCUGUUAUGAUCACCCCAUUUAGAAAUCACCCCUGUUCCCUGGCACUCCUGAUGCCAAGAGGCUCUGAGAAAGGAUUGACAUUGAACGUGGGGAGUAUGGUUAUUGCAGAGGAAGUCACGCUUGGUCUUCUGAAGAAUGGCAGAAGAACAUUGUCUCAACAAGUAUAGUGGAGCUCAAUAUGGGGUCUAUUCUCAGAUUUUUAACUGGAUGUCUCUCUUCUCUCCAGGGUCCUAGCUCUGCCUUGAUGAUCCUGGUCACCCUGAGUGAUUCUGCUUGUAGUGGGUUGAAUGAUGACACCCUCCCUUCCCUAUCCCUUGGCCAAAGAUAUCCCCCUGUCCUAAUUCCCAAAAUCUUCUUUGGAAAAGGGUCUUUGCAGAUGUAAUUAAGUGAGAUGAGGAGAUGAUUCUGGAUUAUCUGGAGGGGCCCUAAAUCCAAUGACAAGGGUCCUUGUAAGUGGAAAACAGAGAUAUUUGAGACAGAAGAGGAGAUCACACAGGGAAAGGAGGAUGCAGAGACUGGCGUGAUGCUGUCACAGACCAACAAACACCAAGGAAUGCCAACAACACCCAGAAGCUGGAAGAAGCAAAGAAUGGAUUGCCCUCUAGGGCCUCCAGAGGGAAGGUGUGGCCCUGCCCACACCUUGAUUUUGCAUGUAAGGCCUCUGGAAUUGUGAGAGAAUAAAAUUUCUGUUGUUUUAAGCCA
Molecule: long non-coding RNA, 2240 nt
Organism: Mustela erminea (ermine)
Lineage: Eukaryota; Metazoa; Chordata; Mammalia; Carnivora; Mustelidae
Exons: 2
Source: RefSeq, a predicted model, not a curated record